GACAGAGGUGCCAAGCGUUAGGCGGAAUCACUGGGCUUAAAGCGUGUGUAGGCGGAUCGUUAAGUACCUUGUGAAAUCCCACGGCUCAACCGUGGAACUGCUGGGUAUACUGGCGGUCUUGAGCCACCUAGGGGCAACUGGAACAAGCGGUGGAGCGGUGAAAUGCGCAGAUAUCGCUUGGAACGCCAACGGUGAAAACAGGUUGCUGGGGGUGUGCUGACGCUGAGACACGAAAGCCAGGGGAGCGAACGGG
Molecule: ribosomal RNA, 253 nt
Filed under: uncultured bacterium
Lineage: Bacteria
Description: partial 16S ribosomal RNA
Rfam family: Bacterial small subunit ribosomal RNA
Source: RNAcentral